Molecule: transfer RNA, 73 nt
Filed under: Danio rerio (zebrafish)
Lineage: Eukaryota; Metazoa; Chordata; Actinopteri; Cypriniformes; Danionidae
Description: tRNA-Ser
Source: RNAcentral
CGAGAAAGGAAGGAAUUGAACCCCCGUGUGCUAGUUUCAAGCCAGCCGCAUAACCACUCUGCCACUUUCUUAU